RNAcentral lists this ribosomal RNA (463 nucleotides) under uncultured Rhodoferax sp. RNAcentral describes it as "bacterial SSU rRNA". It matches the Rfam family "Bacterial small subunit ribosomal RNA", at positions 919 to 1382 of the family's 1533-position model. The record is from RNAcentral. Lineage: Bacteria; Pseudomonadati; Pseudomonadota; Betaproteobacteria; Burkholderiales; Comamonadaceae.
ACCCGCACAAGCGGUGGAUGAUGUGGUUUAAUUCGAUGCAACGACGAAAACCUUACCCACCUUUGACAUGUACGGAACCCUUUAGAGAUAGAGGGGUGCUCGAAAGAGAGCCGUAACACAGGUGCUGCAUGGCUGUCGUCAGCUCGUGUCGUGAGAUGUUGGGUUAAGUCCCGCAACGAGCGCAACCCUUGUCAUUAGUUGCUACAUUCAGUUGGGCACUCUAAUGAGACUGCCGGUGACAAGCCGGAGGAAGGUGGGGAUGACGUCAAGUCCUCAUGGCCCUUAUAGGUGGGGCUACACACGUCAUACAAUGGCUGGUACAAAGGGUUGCCAACCCGCGAGGGGGAGCCAAUCCCAUAAAGCCAGUCGUAGUCCGGAUCGUAGUCUGCAACUCGACUACGUGAAGUCGGAAUCGCUAGUAAUCGUGGAUCAGAAUGUCACGGUGAAUACGUUCCCGGGUCUU